RNAcentral lists this ribosomal RNA (301 nucleotides) under uncultured bacterium. RNAcentral describes it as "partial 16S ribosomal RNA". It matches the Rfam family "Bacterial small subunit ribosomal RNA", at positions 509 to 807 of the family's 1533-position model. The record is from RNAcentral.
CAGCCGCCGCGGGAAUACGAAGGGGGCUAGCGUUGUUCGGAAUUACUGGGCGUAAAGCGCACGUAGGCGGAUAUUUAAGUCAGGAGUGAAAUCCCAGAGCUCAACUCUGGAACUGCCUUUGAUACUGGGUAUCUUGAGCAUGGAAGAGGUGAGUGGAAUUCCGAGUGUAGAGGUGAAAUUCGUAGAUAUUCGGAGGAACACCAGUGGCGAAGGCGGCUCACUGGUCCAUUACUGACGCUGAGGUGCGAAAGCGUGGGGAGCAAACAGGAUUAGAUACCCCAGUAGUCCCUGUCUCUUAUAC